RNAcentral lists this long non-coding RNA (6008 nucleotides) under Cucumis sativus (cucumber). RNAcentral's name for it is "long non-coding RNA (CSAT_LNC001107)". Lineage: Eukaryota; Viridiplantae; Streptophyta; Magnoliopsida; Cucurbitales; Cucurbitaceae. The record is from RNAcentral.
CCGUGCGCCACGACCCUCCUUCCCCUUCUCUCCGUUCGUGCAGCAACCGCCCCAACCGUCCUCUUCUCCUUCCGUUCGUGGCCAGCCGCAGCCCAGCCGCAACCACCACCUCUAUCUUCUUCUUCCCGUCCCGCCGCGAAGCAAGACCGCGCCGCUGCCAGUCCAGAUCUGCGGCGCCGUUGCUCUUCCGCCGCUGCCCAACCGUCUCAGCCGGUUCUGUCUCUGUCGAAGCCACGGUUCUGCAACCGUCUCCGCCGGUUCUGUCUUCGUAAAGCCCUGCCGCGCAACCUCUGUUUCGAGCCGCCGCCCAUUCCGUUCUCCUCUGUUUUCUGCACUGCCGCGCGACUCUCCGACCGCGUCAGAUCGUUGAUCGAUUUUGAGGCAGCCGCCACGUCUCCUUUGGCCGACCGCUGACCGACCCACACUUAGGAUUUUUGCUGCGAGUCCGACAGUCGUGCGUUGAGGUGUGCUGCUGUCUCUGUUUUACAAUUUUAUUGAGGUUGCUUUGUUGGUAACAACUUAAGUAUGAAUGGUAAUUGGUUUCAAACUGGUUCAAGUGUUAUGGUUGGAAUGUUUAGCUAAUUUGUUAAUUGGUUCUUGAAGGUGUUGGGAGUAACGUUGGGCUCCCUUAAAUUCACAACCAAUUUGUGAAUUGUUGAGGGUUCAGUUCGCCAAUAUAUCGGUGAGUUGGAACUUACGUUGAGGAAAGUAAGUGAGAUAUGUAUCGUGGAAGUAAUUGAAUUUUGUGUUGUUGUGCUUAGGAUUGUUUCAAGGAUGUUAGUUGAUUAAGGAGCUUCCCCAACUUUGAGGUAAGGGAUUUUCUACUGGACUCACCUAAAGUUUUUGAGUUGUGUUGGACUGUAUGGAUGAUGAUUAAGAUGUACAUGUUUGAUUGCAGACUAAAUGUUUAGUGUAUGUUGUAUUUGACUGGAACAUAUAUAUAUACAUUGAUGUGUGAAUUGAUGUGGAUUGCCGAAAGUAUACAUGUGAAUGACUGAAAUUAUGCUUAUGUGUACAUGAUGAUAUUAAUAGAUUGUGCUGUAUAAAGAUUGGAUGUGAACUAGUGAAUUUGUUUCGGUUGGAUGUGGAUUAUACUGAACUGUGGUUUGUGCUGGUGAACUGAGGGGUGUAUUGACUUGACUGUAUAGUGGAUUGACUGAUGUAUUAGCAUAUUAUUGACAGACAGAUGAUUGUAGUAAAAUAAGUUGACUGUUAGGAUGUUGAAAGAAAGGACUUUGUGAUUUGAAGUAACCGAAAGAUGGGUUGAAUGGAAUGAGGGGAUAAAUUGUUAGGUUGUAUUGGGAUGUUUACCUUGUAGGUGUCCCACGGGAUCACCAAUUUAUUGUGCACCUUCGGGAGCAUUUGACUGAUAUGUGUUUCUGCAGAACACUAGACUGAUAUGUACGUCCCUCGGGGCGUUAGACUGAUAUGUACGUCCCUCGGGGCGUUAGACUGAUAUGUACGUCCUUCGGGGCGUUAGACUGAAAUGUGUAUCCUACGGGAUCACAAGACUGCGACUGUACAAGGUGUCCCAAUAGAACUUUAACAAUUUAUUUUCCCCUGACGAGACCAGUAGAGGGUCUCUUACUGAGUAUUGUUAUACUCACCCUUCUUAUGUUUAAUUUUCAGGCAAAGGAAAUAAAGGUGGCAAACCGGCGAGGGGCAGGAAGGAAGCGUGAUUGCCAUAGGAAACGUGUUUUUGCUUCCGCUUAUGAUUUCUUUUAAGGUUUAAGAUGUACUAAAACUUAGUUUACAAACUUUUAUUUGUAAAUAGUGUUAUUGUUAAGUUUUCUUGAAUAUUUGAAAAUCAGGCCUGACAUGUUUUGUUUUUAAAUUGACUUAUGUUUCAAUUUGUAUCAACCAAAGUCUUUUGUCAAAAAUUAACGACCUCGACUUACCCAGAAAAGUUGGGUCGUUACAGUCAUAAAUCACUAGAAGUACAUGAAUGUUAUGAUUUAAUGGUGAAGGAUUUAAUGGUGAAAUUUAGGAAAAGUGUUGCCAUGUAGAGGUGUUCAAAGGAGUGGUCGAGUAGUAGAAAAGUAAGACGUUGGUAGCAAAAUUGUCUGUUUUGUGAUUGGAAAUCUAAGAAAAAUAAGUUAUGUAGAUGGUUUUAAAGAGGACUAAAUACACGGUCAAGUUUAUACGAAACACAUUAAAUGGUUUUAGAAUGGAGGUAUUGGAAAAGAAACAAGGAAGAUGAGCAUGGUUGUCUUGAUGUGACUUUAAGAAACAAUUUUGAGUUUCUUGUGAAUGAAAAGUUACUAGUUUGGAGUUUGAAAGUUGGAAUGUAGUUUAACCAUGUAAACAUAAAAUGUUCAGCGAAAAUGUAGUUUCUAAUCCUUCUCCAGAGGCUAGUUUCAAGUACAAAGAGGUUGGAACUAUCGUUUCGCUAAAAGUUAUCCCAGCUAUGAAGGUUAGUAAGUUGCUUGACCAGGGUACCUGUUGUAUUUGACUAGUGUGGUAGACACCAGAGAAGUCGAUGUUUCUUUGUUAUUUGAAUCAGUGGUGAAAAAGUAUUAUGAUAUUUUUCUAGAAGAGUUUCUAAGAUUACCGUGCUAAACAGAAAUUGGUCUUGUUAUUGAGAUAGAGUUAGACUCGUUCCUAUAUCUAAAGCUUCAUACAAAAUGGCACCAACAGAGUUGAAAGAUUUGAAGGUGCAAUUGAAAGAAAUGUUUGACAAGGACUACAUUCGACGAAGUAUGUUAUCUUGGGGUGCACCAAUUUUUGUUUAUUAAGAAGAAAGAUGGGUCGAUGCACUUAUGUUUUGAUUGUAGAAAGUUGAAUAAGGUGUCGGUUAAGAAUAAAUAUCUUUUACCAAUGAAUGAGGAUUUGUUUGAUCAACUGCAAUAAGUCCAUGUUCUUUAAGAUUGAAUUACAUUCAGGUUAUGACUUGUUGAGGAUUAGAGAACAGUGACAUUCCUAAGGCAGAUUUUCGUUCGAGAUAUGGACAUCACGAGUUCAUUAUGAUGUCUUUUGAGUGGCAAAUGCUCAAACAAUGUUUACGACUUGAUGAACAAAGUGUUUAACGAUCUCUUAGACACUUUCAUGAUUGUAUUUAUUGACGAUAUCUUAAUUUAUUCCAAAAUAGAGACAGCGCAUGAGGAGCAUUUAACAUGGUUUUAGAGGCUCUUCGAGUCAACGAAUUGUAUGCAAAGUUUUCAAAAUGUGAGUUUUGGAUGAGGCCAAGUAUCUUUCCAAGCCAUGUGGUAUCUAGAGAUGACAUUUAUGUGGAUCUCACAAAAGAUUGAAGUUUACUAGUUGGCCUCGACUUUCAUAGUCAGUGAGGUUCGUAGUCUUUUGGGUUUAGCAGGUUAUUACUAACGGUUUGUAUAAGAAUUUUCUCGUAUAGCUACUCCUUUGACUCAGUUAACUAAGAAAAGGGACUCCGUUUGUUUGGGACAAAGCCUAUGAGGAUAGUGUUCAGGAUCUUAAGCAGAAGCUUGUACAACUCCCGUGCUUACCGUACAUGAUGGUUCAGAAAGUUUCGUAAUUUAUAGUGAUGCUUUUAGGAAAGUUUAAAAGGUAUUAUGAUUCAACAAGUUAAAGUAGUUGCUUGUACUCCUCGUGAGGAAAAUUGUCCAACUUAUGAUAUGGAAUUGACAGUUGUGGUUUUUACAUUAAUGAUUUGAAGGCACUAUAUGUAUGAUGAAAAGAUAUAGAUAUUUUCUAACCAAAAGAGUAUAAAAUACUUCACUCAAAAGAAGUUGAGUAUGAGAUAGCAAAGAUGGUUUCAGUUAGUAAAUGACUAUGAUUGUGAGAUUUUGUACCAUCUAGGUAAGGCGAAUGUGGAAGUUGGUGCUCUUCGUAGAAAAGUAUCACAUUUUGACAGCACUUAUUACCAGACAGGUUUCAUUAGACAAAAACCACGAGAGAGCUGAGAUUGUAGUUUUAGUGGGGGAAGUCACCUCACAGUUAGCUCAGUUGUCAGUACAUCCGAUCUUGAGACAAAGAAUUCUUGUGGUUCAAUUCAUUGAUCCUUAUUUGAUUGAGAAGCAUCGCCUAGUAGAAGUAGGGCAAGUUAAGGAGUUUUCCAUAUCCUUUGAUGAUGAACUUAUGUUUGAGAGAGAAUUAUGUGUGCCAACAAAAAUUAAGACAAGGUUAUUGGUUGAGACUCAUAGUUUCCCAUUUCUCAUGCAUCCAAGUAGCACAAAAAUGUAUCCGGAUCUGAAAAGAGUUUGUUACUAGCGUAAUAUGAGGAGAGAAAUGGAAGAUCUUGUUAGUAAGUGCUUAGUAUGUCAGCAAGUUAAGGCACCUAGACAUAAACCAGCAGGUUUGUUACAACCUUUAAGUGUGCCAGAGUGGAAGUGGGAGAAUGUGUCGAUGGAUUUUAUUUCAGGGCUGCCUAAGACCCUGAAGGGUUUCACAGUGAUUUGGUUGUCAUAGACAGGCUUAAAUCAACACAUUUUGUACCAGGAAAUCCACUUAUACUGCUAGUAAGUGGGCAGAGUUGUAUUUAACUGAGAUUGUGAGACUGCAUGGAGUGCCUGUAUCGAUUGUUUCUGAUAGGGAUGCACGGUUUACUUCCAAGUUUUGGAAGGGACUUCAGACUGCUAUGGGUACGAGAUUGGAUUUCAGUACAACCUUUCAUCCACAGACUGAUGGUCAAACUGAACGUUUGAACCAAGUUUUAGAGGAUAUGCUACGAGCUUGUGUUCUAGAGUUUCAGGUAGUUGGGACUCUCAUCUACAUUUGAUGGAGUUUGCUUAUAACAACAGUUUCCAGGCUACCAUCGGUAUGGCACCAUUUGAGGCUUUGUAUGGCAAAUGUUGUAGAACCCCUGUUUGUUGGGUGAGGUUGGUGAACAUAGGUUGAUGGGACCUGAAUUAGUUCGGUCUACUAAUGAGGCUAUUCAAAAGAUUAGAGCACGUAUGCAAACAGCGCAGAGUAGACAGAAGAGUUAUGCAGAUGUACGGCGAAAAGACCUUAAGUUCAUGUGGGAGAAAAGGUAUUCUUGAAGGUAGCACCUAUGAAGGGUGUUAUGCGUUUUGAGAAGAAAGGGAAGUUAAGUCCUCGUUUUGUUGGACCAUUUGAGAUCUUAGAGAGGGUUGGUGUUGUGGCGUAUCGCUUGGCAUUACCACCAUCACUCUCUGCAGUUCAUAAUGUUUUCCAUGUUUCGAUGUUGAGGAAGUAUGUGGCCGAUACAUCUCAUGUAGUGGACUAUGAACCCUUGGAGAUUGAUGAGCAUUUGAGCUAUGUAGAACAACCUGUGGAGAUUCUGGCUAGAGAGGUAAAGAUGCUUCGUAAUAGAAGCAUUCCAUUAGUAAAGGUUUUGUGGCGGAAUCAUCGAAUUGAAGAGGCGACAUGGGAGCGAGAGGAAGAGAUGAGGACUCGUUAUCCAGAGUUAUUUCAGGAUUAGAACUUUCGAGGACGAAAGUUUCUUAAGAGGGAAGAAUGUAACGCCCCAAACUUGAAGGUAAAUUAUUUUGAGAGAAUUAUUUCGAUUUGUUCAAGAUUUUUUUUUAAAUAUGUUGAAGGGGAGAAAGAAGAUUUGAAAAUGUAUUAAUAUAAUUAAAUAUAUAUGUAUUUAAUUAUAUUUUUAUUAUUAUAUUUAUUCUAUAUUUUAUUAAAUAAAAGAAAAGAAAAUGAAAAUUUUAAAUAUAUAUAUAUAUAUAUAUAUAUAUAUAUAUAUAUAUAUAUAUAUAUAUAUAUAUAUAUAUAUAUAUAUAUUUUUUAUUAUAAUUAUUUUAUAUAUUUUUUUAAAUAAAAAGAAAAAGAAAAUGAAAAUUUCUUUUUUUUCCCUUUUCUUCUUCCUCCCUGCGCCACGACCCUCCUUCCUCUUCUCUCCGUUCGUGCAGCAACCGCCCAACCGUCCUCUUCUCCUUCCGUUCGUGGCCAGCCGCAGCCCAGCCGCAACCACCACCUCUAUCUUCUUCUUCCCGUCCCGCCGCGAAGCAAGACCGCGCCGCUGCCAGUCCAGAUCUGCGGCGCCGUUGCUCUUCCGCCGCUGCCCAACCGUCUCAGCCGGUUCUGUCUCUGUCGAAGCCACGGUUCUGCAACCGUCUCCGCCG